GAUAAGAUUUUUAAUCGUUUUCGCGUCAUGUGUCAUUAUCCGAAAAGACAAUUAUUGGUGAUGGAUUUCGAUAAGAUUUUGAAACCAUCAAACCACCAUCAACACAUCAGCACGAACUUCUGACACACAGCAGAGCAACACACUUGAAUGCCUUUCUUAAUUUUUGCUGCACUUCUGUAGUCCAUGGCUUUACGAAACGGUGUGGUGCAGAGGGGUGCCGUGAAGCUGGAUCACCCGAUUAAUUUCAUAACGUCAUCGUUCAAGUCCCGACUCCCUCCUUCUCAAUCUCCCAGAUUCGCCUUGCGCCGGAGUAGCCCCGUGCUAUUUGGCUCCCGAGCUUCAAAGGACGACGGAGGUUAGUUUUUGUUUCCCCAAAU
RNAcentral lists this long non-coding RNA (377 nucleotides) under Malus domestica (apple). RNAcentral's name for it is "long non-coding RNA (MDOM_LNC004235)". The record is from RNAcentral. Lineage: Eukaryota; Viridiplantae; Streptophyta; Magnoliopsida; Rosales; Rosaceae.